This 225-nucleotide long non-coding RNA is filed under the name Vigna radiata. Its description in RNAcentral is "long non-coding RNA (VRAD_LNC005005)". The record is from RNAcentral. Lineage: Eukaryota; Viridiplantae; Streptophyta; Magnoliopsida; Fabales; Fabaceae.
GGAGGAAGGGAUAUUUCGUGUUCUUCCCAGGGUUUUGAUUUAGGGAGGAAUGUUAGUGUUAAAUCAAAACAACUUUCAACUCUAUUUCAUUCUAUAAAUUUAAAAUCUCACAAACAAAUCAAGUUAAUUGAAAAGUUUUGCAUCUUACCUGGGUGUCGGUUCUUUCUCUGUCAUUCCUUUACUCUCGAUCUCCUUUUUGUUCUCUUCUCUUAUUUCCUUAACUCU